RNAcentral lists this ribosomal RNA (395 nucleotides) under uncultured bacterium. Its description in RNAcentral is "partial 16S ribosomal RNA". It matches the Rfam family "Bacterial small subunit ribosomal RNA", at positions 523 to 918 of the family's 1533-position model. The record is from RNAcentral.
AUACGUAGGGUGCAAGCGUUAAUCGGAAUUACUGGGCGUAAAGCGUGCGCAGGCGGUUUUGUAAGACAGGGGUGGAAUCCCCGGGCUCAACCUGGGAACUGCCAUUGUGACUGCAAGGCUGGAGGGCGGCAGAGGGGGAUGGAAUUCCGCGGGUAGGAGUGGAAUGCGUAGAUAUGCGGAGGAACACCGAUGGCGAAGGCAAUCCCCUGGGCCUGCACUGACGCUCAUGCACGAAAGCGUGGGGAGCAAACAGGAUUAGAUACCCUGGUAGUCCACGCCCUAAACGAUGUCAACUGGUUGUUGGGGAUUUAUUUUCUCAGUAACGAAGCUAACGCGUGAAGUUGACCGCCUGGGGAGUACGGCCGCAAGGUUAAAACUCAAAGGAAUUGACGGGG